This is a long non-coding RNA of Drosophila mojavensis, 345 nucleotides long. RefSeq lists it as uncharacterized. The transcript is spliced from 2 exons. The record is from RefSeq and is a predicted model, not a curated record. NCBI's taxonomy places the organism in Eukaryota, Metazoa, Arthropoda, Insecta, Diptera, Drosophilidae.
UACGAGUACGAACAUUAAAUUGUAUGCGAGUCUUGUCGGCCGAGAAAAAUCAUUCAUUACUGUAGUGCACAAGAAAAAACACCUGGUAUUUGCAUGACGACGAGCUGGCCUUAUACAAAGCGAUUUUUAGCGUUGCCAGAUAUUUUUACUGACGCGAACAAAUAUGGCGGAUAGCACAUAAAAAAUUUUCAACGAAUAUCGAUAGUAUCGAUAUUCUGACUUUCCAGUUUUUAUAGUUUAAGAGUUGAUGUGGUAUCUAUCGAGACCUAGUAAUAUCGAUGAAUAUAAAUGUAUAGAAUAUUAAUCGUAUGCUAUGAAUAAAAAUCACUGCACUUUUAAAAAUUA